This 841-nucleotide ribosomal RNA is filed under the name Nigrospora oryzae. RNAcentral's name for it is "eukaryotic LSU rRNA". It matches the Rfam family "Eukaryotic large subunit ribosomal RNA", at positions 68 to 938 of the family's 3401-position model. Lineage: Eukaryota; Fungi; Ascomycota; Sordariomycetes; Amphisphaeriales; Apiosporaceae. The record is from RNAcentral.
ACAGGGAUCCCCUAGUACGGCGAGUGAAGCGGGAACAGCUCAAAUUUGAAAUCUGGCCCUCGGGUCCGAGUUGUAAUUUGUAGAGGAUGCUUUUGGUGCGGUGCCUUCCGAGUUCCCUGGAACGGGACGCCUUAGAGGGUGAGAGCCCCGUACGGUUGGACGCCUAGCCUCUGUAAAGCUCCUUCGACGAGUCGAGUAGUUUGGGAAUGCUGCUCUAAAUGGGAGGUAUAUUUCUUCUAAAGCUAAAUACUGGCCAGAGACCGAUAGCGCACAAGUAGAGUGAUCGAAAGAUGAAAAGCACUUUGAAAAGAGGGUUAAAUAGCACGUGAAAUUGUUGAAAGGGAAGCGUUUAUCACCAGACUUUUUCUAGGGGGAUCAUCCGGUGUUCUCACCGGUGCACUUCCCCUAGUUGAGGCCAGCAUCGGUUUUCGGAGGGGGAUAAAAGUUUCGGGAAUGUGACUCCCCCGGGAGUGUUAUAGCCCGUUACAUAAUACCCUUCUGGGGACCGAGGUUCGCGCAUCUGCAAGGAUGCUGGCAUAAUGGUGAUCAACGACCCGUCUUGAAACACGGACCAAGGAGUCGAACAUUUAUGCGAGUGUUUGGGUGUCAAACCCUCACGCGUAAUGAAAGUGAACGGAGGUGAGAGCCCUUACGGGUGCAUCAUCGACCGAUCCUGAUGUCUUCGGAUGGAUUUGAGUAAGAGCAUAACUGUUCGGACCCGAAAGAUGGUGAACUAUGCGUGGAUAGGGUGAAGCCAGGAGAAAUCCUGGUGGAGGCUCGCAGCGGUUCUGACGUGCAAAUCGAUCGUCAAAUCUGCGCAUGGGGGCGAAAGACUAAUCGA